CGUAGGUGGCGAGCGUUGUCCGGAUUUAUUGGGCGUAAAGGGUGCGUAGGCGGCGGAGUAAGUUGGGUGUGAAAUCCCGGGGCUCAACCUCGGAAUGGCAUUCAAUACUGCUUCGCUAGAGUACUGGAGAGGAGGCUGGAAUUUACGGUGUAGCAGUGAAAUGCGUAGAUAUCGUAAGGAAGGCCGGUGGCGAAAGCGAGCCUCUGGACAGUUACUGACGCUGAUGCACGAAGGCCAGGGGAGCAAACGGG
RNAcentral lists this ribosomal RNA (251 nucleotides) under uncultured bacterium. RNAcentral describes it as "partial 16S ribosomal RNA". It matches the Rfam family "Bacterial small subunit ribosomal RNA", at positions 526 to 776 of the family's 1533-position model. The record is from RNAcentral.